Molecule: long non-coding RNA, 1152 nt
Organism: Rosa chinensis
Lineage: Eukaryota; Viridiplantae; Streptophyta; Magnoliopsida; Rosales; Rosaceae
Exons: 6
Source: RefSeq, a predicted model, not a curated record
ACCACAAGUUCUUAGCAACUUGAUUUGCGAUGAGUAGAUGAGCUUUCUUUUUAACAAUGUAAAAUUUAGUAUUUUCCAUUUACUGAUCAUUUUAUGAUACUCAUGGUUUUGCAGUGGCUAAUUCUAUGGUGAGUAGAGUAAUUCAUACUAGAGACUGUGGUGCCUGAUGCUAAUGGAAAUGGUCAAGUUGAUAACUAUAGCUAUGCAGAGCAACAAUUGCAGCAAGUUGUCGAAUCUAAGUAUAUCUUGAAGGAUCCUUCUGCAGAACCGGUUCAUUUGAAAGUGCAAUGAAUGUUAUACAAGAACAUCUGCCUUCAUCUGUUGGGGCGAUUUUGCCCCCUUAUUUUUUAUUUUUUUUAAAAUUACCCAAUGCCAUUCCCCUAGGUAUAAGAGGCAAUCCUUAGUAUGUGCCCAUUUUUUUUCUUCCUUUCGCUCUCCUCCCCUCAGCUCUACCAGAGUUUCAUAAUUCUGUCUGGCUCUGAAAAUUGGAGCUAAGAUGCUUCUUUGGGCUUAGGGACCUGGCAGUCCAGCCCUGGCUUGGUCGGUGACGCCGUCGCCACCGCCACCGCCACCGCCAUCAAGGCAGGAUAUCGGCAUAUUGAUUGUGCUCCACUCUAUGGCAAUGAGAAGGAGGUAUCAAUUGGAACUGUGUAAGAAAGCUUUGGAGAACAUAACUGUGUAUCUAGAAACUGGUUGUGGAAAGACUCACAUACCGUGUUGCUUAUGUAUGAACCAGUUGAUGCUCAAACCUCAGAAGAACGUAUGUGUGUUCUGAGUCCUAGAGAUCGUUGUGGUAUAUAUGGAUCAAAUUGCUCCCAAUGGAUUAUUGCAAUGGAGCUGUGUUCUUUCAGAUUUUGAACCUCGAUAUGUUUUUAAAGACGAUGGAGAGAGAGGUUAGAAGAAGAUGAAGCGGAAGAGGAGAUUGAGUACCAUAUUAGGAGAGUUGCUAGGACUGAAGACCACUAAAUGCUGAAGAAUGGAGUGGAUUUAUGUUAUUAUGCACAUAUAUGGUCGAGUAAUGUUUAAAUGUAGUGUUAUGAACGUUGUCCAAUAGCACUGGUAGUAGUAUAUAUAUCAAGUUCACAGAUUUAGUUUCCUUUUGACACAUUGAACUGUAAGAGUAUACUAUCUAUACCUUGUUUAUUUAACCUA